Molecule: long non-coding RNA, 899 nt
Filed under: Homo sapiens (human)
Lineage: Eukaryota; Metazoa; Chordata; Mammalia; Primates; Hominidae
Description: HSALNT0368517
Source: RNAcentral
CUGCCUCUCGCGCUCCUAAGCCAGGCCCUGGGGCCUUGCCCUCCAAGGGCCUCGCACGCCGGAAUCGCCGGGCACUCUGGGAAGGGUCAGGCUCCGGCGGGAAGGCGGAGCCGUUGGGGAGCUUGAGGGGAAGCGUGGUCUCUCCCGGAAAAACCACUUCCACCGAGAACGCUGAGCGAGAGCCAGCACCUGGAUGGAGCACCUAAGGGAAGUGUUCAGAAAGACAUGUUUGUUGAGAGUUCUUACCGUGAAAAAAUAAAAAGAUUUGAUGACUUUUCUAAGAUAAUGAAUUCAGAAGCAUCUGGAGGUUUCAGUGUUUGGCCUCUGAAGGAGGGCUUAUAGGGCUUUUUAUAAGUCCUAAAGCACGUAGGUUCUUUUUGUUAUUCCCAAUUGGUUGCCUUGUAGAUUCCUACUAAAACCCUUAAUGAAAAGGACUAUGCGCUAUGGUUGUUCUAAAGAAAUAGAAGUAAUAGUAGGACUAGAGAAAGCUGCAUGGGACAGAGUAGCACUGUCAGAACACAGAAAGGUGAGUAUCCACUGCUGAGGAGCAGAUCUCUUAUCUAACAUACGAAAUGUCUUCAUUUGACAGACAGGAAGCUGAAAAAAAACUUUGGCAUUUUUAUUCAGACACGUAUAAAAACAAAACAAAAAACUUCAGUGAUACAACAGACGUUUUCCCUUAGUUCCCCAUCCAAGGGGACAGAGGUGUGCAGCUGAAGCUGGAUCUUUUUUCUGUCCUACCUGGAAGCUUCUCACUGCUGGAUGAGAAUGGCUUCUAAAAGUGGAUCUUGGGGAUCCUUGUGAAUUUGCCCUCGGAUAAGGAGUGAAGAUCAUUUACGGCACAUGUGGAUUAUGGUUUACACAAAGAUGUCCAGUUAUUUUUCCUUCUGACUACCCCC